GAUGAACGCUGGCGGCGUGCCUAAUACAUGCAAGUCGAGCGAAUGGAUUGAGAGCUUGCUCUCAAGAAGUUAGCGGCGGACGGGUGAGUAACACGUGGGUAACCUGCCCAUAAGACUGGGAUAACUCCGGGAAACCGGGGCUAAUACCGGAUAACAUUUUGAACUGCAUGGUUCGAAAUUGAAAGGCGGCUUCGGCUGUCACUUAUGGAUGGACCCGCGUCGCAUUAGCUAGUUGGUGAGGUAACGGCUCACCAAGGCAACGAUGCGUAGCCGACCUGAGAGGGUGAUCGGCCACACUGGGACUGAGACACGGCCCAGACUCCUACGGGAGGCAGCAGUAGGGAAUCUUCCGCAAUGGACGAAAGUCUGACGGAGCAACGCCGCGUGAGUGAUGAAG
RNAcentral lists this ribosomal RNA (397 nucleotides) under uncultured bacterium. RNAcentral's name for it is "bacterial SSU rRNA". It matches the Rfam family "Bacterial small subunit ribosomal RNA", at positions 28 to 413 of the family's 1533-position model. The record is from RNAcentral.